UGCUGGUGACACUUGCGGACUUGAGAGCCGCAGCACGUCGGCAACGUCUCAUUAACGCGAUUUAGAUACGCCUCAUUAACCAUGCUUUGACGUUUAGCUGGUCAAAUCCGACCACAGCGACAGGUCCGUCGCGGCGUGAUGUGGAAAGUGAAAGCGUAUGAAUACCGCGCGGAUUGUCGUCCUGGCCAUUGCUNNNNNNNNNCAUAUCUUGCAAGCGGCUCCGAUCCGAAGCCGGUCGCGGCGCCAACGACAAUGGACACCACUGACGUUCUGGUUGCCCGCACCGACAUUCCGCUCGGUCAGACCGUCACGCCUGACGAUAUUCAGUGGCAAAACUGGCCUUCAUCGACGGCAAGCUCCAGCUUCAUCCGCCGCAACGAUCAGCCUGAAGCAAUGACCCAGAUCGUGGGAUCGAUUGCGCGCUCGCCGUUCCUUGCGGGCGAACCGAUCCGCGAAACCAAGCUCGUCAAGGGUAACGGCUCCGGCUUUAUGGCGGCCAUCCUGCCGACCGGCAUGCGCGCGAUU
RNAcentral lists this unclassified non-coding RNA (525 nucleotides) under Hevea brasiliensis (rubber tree). Lineage: Eukaryota; Viridiplantae; Streptophyta; Magnoliopsida; Malpighiales; Euphorbiaceae. The record is from RNAcentral.